Molecule: long non-coding RNA, 605 nt
Organism: Puntigrus tetrazona (Sumatra barb)
Lineage: Eukaryota; Metazoa; Chordata; Actinopteri; Cypriniformes; Cyprinidae
Exons: 3
Source: RefSeq, a predicted model, not a curated record
CGUUAAUUAUAAAAGUGGGAGCUCGAGUUUUAAAUCGGAUGUUUUUGGAUGACGGACAAGUCACAGUGUGUACUUCCUGAUUUAACUGGCCAAUGACUGGCUCGGGAUUGGAGAACGGAAAUAUACCUGGAAUAGAAUUACAGGCAAAAGAGACAGAGAAGGGGAUGCUGUAAAUGUUCAGUUCCAGGGCAAACUGUUCAAGGAAUUUUAAUACAGCAGGUACAGACGAUACAGUCACUGUUUAAUUCUCCUUUUAUAAUCAUUUUUUAAGUGCACAGUUUGUUUUUUCUAUGGGAAUCAUUUAUUCUGAGAACUGCAUUUCUUUACAUUUCCCUGGAUGAAAGGGCAUUGUAAUUCAAAGCAAGCCACAGAAUCACGUGAGCAAAGCUUUAGUAUCCAGCCGGUUUUUUUUCCAGAUAACUGCCUGAACUUCUGUAGGAGUUGUAUAGACUAAGCUGCUGGCUUUGCAUUUGACAUUUUGUAGCAGAGUGUUUGUGUUCUGUACAUAGUUUUCACAAGUUUUAUUUUUUUUUGCUGAAGGUAUUCAUGAAUCACUGAUUAAACUUAUAUUUAUGUAUUUAAAAGCAUGUGCUUUCUGUUUUGUA